This 495-nucleotide ribosomal RNA is filed under the name uncultured bacterium. RNAcentral's name for it is "partial 16S ribosomal RNA". It matches the Rfam family "Bacterial small subunit ribosomal RNA", at positions 29 to 510 of the family's 1533-position model. The record is from RNAcentral.
AGUGAACGCUGGCGGUAGGCCUAACACAUGCAAGUCGAACGGCAGCACAGUAAGAGCUUGCUCUUACGGGUGGCGAGUGGCGGACGGGUGAGGAAUACAUCGGAAUCUACUUUUUCGUGGGGGAUAACGUAGGGAAACUUACGCUAAUACCGCAUACGACCUACGGGUGAAAGCAGGGGAUCUUCGGACCUUGCGCGAUUGAAUGAGCCGAUGUCGGAUUAGCUAGUUGGCGGGGUAAAGGCCCACCAAGGCGACGAUCCGUAGCUGGUCUGAGAGGAUGAUCAGCCACACUGGAACUGAGACACGGUCCAGACUCCUACGGGAGGCAGCAGUGGGGAAUAUUGGACAAUGGGCGCAAGCCUGAUCCAGCCAUACCGCGUGGGUGAAGAAGGCCUUCGGGUUGUAAAGCCCUUUUGUUGGGAAAGAAAAGCAGCAGGUUAAUACCCCGCUGUUCUGACGGUACCCAAAGAAUAAGCACCGGCUAACUUCGUGCCA